Molecule: ribosomal RNA, 243 nt
Filed under: uncultured bacterium
Lineage: Bacteria
Description: partial 16S ribosomal RNA
Rfam family: Bacterial small subunit ribosomal RNA
Source: RNAcentral
GGACGAACGCUGGCGGCGUGCUUAACACAUGCAAGUCGAGCGGUAAGGCCCUUCGGGGUACGACGAGCGGCGAACGGGUGAGUAACACGUGGGUGACCUGCCUCUAGCUCUGGGAUAAGCCUGGGAAACUGGGUCUAAUACCGGAUAUGACUCCACGGCGCAUGUUGUGGGGUGGAAAGCCUUGUGUGGCUAGAGAUGGGCCCGCGGCCUAUCAGCUUGUUGGUGGGGUGAUGGCCACCAAGG